This 253-nucleotide ribosomal RNA is filed under the name uncultured bacterium. Its description in RNAcentral is "partial 16S ribosomal RNA". It matches the Rfam family "Bacterial small subunit ribosomal RNA", at positions 524 to 776 of the family's 1533-position model. The record is from RNAcentral.
UACGUAUGGGGCAAGCGUUAUCCGGAUUUACUGGGUGUAAAGGGAGCGCAGGCGGCCUGGCAAGCCUGAUGUGAAAUACCGGGGCCCAACCCCGGGGCUGUAUUGGGAACUGCCAGGCUGGAGUGCCGGAGAGGCAGGCGGAAUUCCUAGUGUAGCGGUGAAAUGCGUAGAUAUUAGGAGGAACACCAGUGGCGAAGGCGGCCUGCUGGACGGUGACUGACGCUGAGGCUCGAAAGCGUGGGGAGCAAACAGG